AGUCGAGCGGAUGAAGGGAGCUUGCUCCUGGAUUCAGCGGCGGACGGGUGAGUAAUGCCUAGGAAUCUGCCUGGUAGUGGGGGAUAACGUCCGAAACGGGCGCUAAUACCGCAUACGUCCUGAGGGAGAAAGUGGGGGAUCUUCGGACCUCACGCUAUCAGAUGAGCCUAGGUCGGAUUAGCUAGUUGGUGGGGUAAAGGCCUACCAAGGCGACGAUCCGUAACUGGUCUGAGAGGAUGAUCAGUCACACUGGAACUGAGACACGGUCCAGACUCCUACGGGAGGCAGCAGUGGGGAAUAUUGGACAAUGGGCGAAAGCCUGAUCCAGCCAUGCCGCGUGUGUGAAGAAGGUCUUCGGAUUGUAAAGCACUUUAAGUUGGGAGGAAGGGCAGUAAGUUAAUACCUUGCUGUUUUGACGUUACCAACAGAAUAAGCACCGGCUAACUUCGUGCCAGCAGCCGCGGUAAUACGAAGGGUCCGCAAGCGUUAAUCGGAAUUACUGGGCGUAAAGCGCGCGUAGGUGGUUCAGCAAGUUGGAUGUGAAAUCCCCGGGCUCAACCUGGGAACUGCAUCCAAAACUACUGAGCUAGAGUACGGUAGAGGGUGGUGGAAUUUCCUGUGUAGCGGUGAAAUGCGUAGAUAUAGGAAGGAACACCAGUGGCGAAGGCGACCACCUGGACUGAUACUGACACUGAGGUGCGAAAGCGUGGGGAGCAAACAGGAUUAGAUACCCUGGUAGUCCACGCCGUAAAUCGAUGUCGACUAGCCGUUGGGAUCCUUGAGAUCUUAGUGGCGCAGCUAACGCGAUAAGUCGACCGCCUGGGGAGUACGGCCGCAAGGUUAAAACUCAAAUGAAUUGACGGGGGCCCGCACAAGCGGUGGAGAAGCAUGUGGUUUAAUUCGAAGCAACGCGAAGAACCUUACCUGGCCUUGACAUGCUGAGAACUUUCCAGAGAUGGAUUGGUUGCCUUCGGGAACUCAGACACAGGUGCUGCAUGGCUGUCGUCAGCUCGUGUCGUGAGAUGUGGGUUAAGUCCCGUAACGAGCGCAACCCUUGUCCUUAGUUACCAGCACCUCCGGGUUGGGCACUCUAAGGAGACGUGCGGUGACAAACCGGGAGGAAGGUGGGAUGACGUCAGUCAUCAUUGCCUUUACGGCAGGCCUACCCACCGUGCUACAAUGGCCCGUACAAAGGGUUGCCAAGCCGCGAGGUGGAGCUAAUCCCAUAAAACCGAUCGUAGUCCGGAUCGCAGUCUGCAACUCGACUGCGUGAAGUCGGAAUCGCUAGUAAUCGUGAAUCAGAAUGUCACGGUGAAUACGUUCCCGGGCCUUGUACACACCGCCCGUCACACCAUGGGAGUGGGUUGCUCCAGAAGUAGCUAGUCUAACCGCAAGGG
Molecule: ribosomal RNA, 1397 nt
Filed under: Pseudomonas sp. ZZ-9
Lineage: Bacteria; Pseudomonadati; Pseudomonadota; Gammaproteobacteria; Pseudomonadales; Pseudomonadaceae
Description: 16S ribosomal RNA
Rfam family: Bacterial small subunit ribosomal RNA
Source: RNAcentral